RNAcentral lists this ribosomal RNA (432 nucleotides) under uncultured bacterium. RNAcentral's name for it is "partial 16S ribosomal RNA". It matches the Rfam family "Bacterial small subunit ribosomal RNA", at positions 29 to 507 of the family's 1533-position model. The record is from RNAcentral.
ACGAACGCUGGCGGCAUGCCUAACACAUGCCAGUCGAACGAGACCUUCGGGUCUAGUGGCGCACGGGUGCGUAACGCGUGGGAACCUGCCCUUAGGUUCGGAAUAACUCCCCGAAAGGGGUGCUAAUACCGGAUAAUGUCUUCGGACCAAAGAUUUAUCGCCUUUGGAUGGGCCCGCGUUGGAUUAGCUAGUUGGUAGGGUAAAAGCCUACCAAGGCGACGAUUCAUAGCUGGUCUGAGAGGAUGACCAGCCACACUGGGACUGAGACACGGCCCAGACUCCUACGGGAGGCAGCAGUGGGGAAUAUUGGACAAUGGGCGAAAGCCUGAUCCAGCAAUGCCGCGUGAGUGAUGAAGGCCUUAGGGUUGUAAAGCUCUUUUACCCGGGAUGAUAAUGACAGUACCGGGAGAAUAAGCUCCGGCUAACUCCGUG